This is a long non-coding RNA of Oxyura jamaicensis (ruddy duck), 9947 nucleotides long. RefSeq lists it as uncharacterized. The transcript is spliced from 2 exons. The record is from RefSeq and is a predicted model, not a curated record. Lineage: Eukaryota; Metazoa; Chordata; Aves; Anseriformes; Anatidae.
AAAAAAAAUCCAGCAUCCAAAAGCAGAUCACUCACCCAAUGGGUAUCUGGGAUGUGUGUAUGCCCAACCAGAGCAUGCAAAGAACAUACUAUUUCCCUUCACAGCUCGGGCAAUGUGGUGCUGGUUUCCUUAGCAGCAUUCACACUGCAAUGGAUAGAGGUGUGAAACAAAGAUGCUCACAUUAUAGACUGCCAACAGCCUCCCGGGGAAAUCCAUGGGACCUGUGGCCUGACCCAUCAGCCCUUUUUCCCAGGCUGGGUGUAACGCUGUGGUAGGAACAGUCCAGAAGCUUCUAAUAAAAGCCCUGCAGCCCUUCUUAUGUUUUGGGUUUAUCAAGCAUAAUCUCAAUCCACAUACCUCAGCCUGCUCUUGGGAAGGAGCAGCUCAGCUGGCUGCUCAUUCUGUGGGGAAAUGGCGGAAUGUAGGGUGCUGGGAGUGAGGCAGACCUGCUGGUGGCCACCUGUACAAGGAUCAGACCCUCUCAGGAUGCUGCCCUGGUGCUUUGAUGCACGGCUCCUGCUGCGGGACACCAGGCGUCUGUGGCUCUCGCCGACUCCCCAGGAAGCAGGGCACUGGCUGUUCUGCUCCUUGCGUUAGCAUGGCAUUAGCAUGGGCUAAUGGAGAUAACAUCUUCCUCCCGCUUCUGCCAGCAGCCCCUCCCUGGAGACCAACGGCUGCACAAACAUUCGCUGCCCACCAGCCCCUGCUGCCUUUGUUAGGCCUGCGCGUGGCUCCUCCUGCGCAGGUGGUGUUUGCUCUCUGCACAGCUCUUGUUUCAGACAAGCUGCCUACAAAAGCUCAGGAGUCGUUGCUAUUUAUUCUCAGCCCUUGCUUGGCUUUUUUGAGAUGACCAGGUGAGCAUGCAGGCGGUUGGUUCUCCCACUUAUUUUCUACUGGAUGGGGACAUCAAAUAUUUGCUUUCAGAAGUAUUUGCAGCAGCUCCUCUGCAAUUAACGGCAUCAACCAAAAUGCUCAGAAAGGGUGUGGGAGAGCUCCUGUGCCCUCACUCUCCUGAGUUUUGCUAUGGUGACCCAGAAAUUCUUGGGCUUUGUUGCUUUGCUACUGAGUGUAUCUGAUGGGCAACACAUUAAAACAUAUGAUGUGCUUCCUGUUGGCAGAACCAUUUUAGACCUUCUAGUUCCAGCCCCAUGCCAGACAGCUGUGCAGCUCUCAGGGAACAGCAUUCAGUUACACUACUACAAAUUCAGAGAAGCUAAUUGAUUCACUUUGGACAUUACUAGUGCAGCAGAACAGAAUUUAGCCCUUGCAUUUCAGGAACUACAAAACCACCGGAGGUUAUCUGCUAAUAAUGAUGUACUUGUGUCCUCUGCCAUCCUAGCUUACAUUGCACCAUCCAGCCAACCAACCUGGGGAAGGGUGUCUUAUAUCCGUCAGGAGGAAACUACAGCUGUGAUCGAGUGUAGAGGCUGUGUUUGAGAUGGGUUCAGGGAAGGGCUUCACUUUACACAGCAAAGGCUGAGCCGAGGCCUUCUCUGCACAAGCCACAUGAGCUGUUGGGUAGCUGGUGUCAGCCACCAAACAAGCUGUGGGUGCCUGAGGCCUUCAGAAGUGGUCUGAAUCCCAGAGAAGUUUUCCUUCCCUCAAAACACAUGGACGUCAUGGCCAUGCUUCAAGAGCAGACUGGAGAUUUUGGAGACAAAAUUCUCCAUUGCUGAGAUGUGUACAGGCCUUUGUGCUCUGAAGGACUCCCAGUGUCUGCAGACGUGGCUGAAGCAGUGGGAGAUGGGCUUUCUUCCAGGCACGAAUCAUUGCUUACUGCUGUGAGAGGUAUUCACAGUCACGGCAACUCAGCAUGAGCUUGCAAAAAGGGAAAAAAAACUACCAAACCCAAGGGAUUGCAUGGUACUGAGCAUUGCACCCAGAGAUCUGGUGGUGACGUGCCACUACCUAGAGGGUGAAACACUCACAGCAACACCAGCACAGCAGAGGACAGGCCAAUACAAGCAGGAAAGCCUGUAGUAGGCUCUGGUCAGGGGAUUCAAGCAAUAGCAGCAUCUUCCCCAGCUCUCACUUCAUUAUCACCAUCAUUUCUCUAUGAAUGAUUGAGCACAGGCAAUGUUUUAAACUCAGUGCCAUUGGUCACUAAUGCAAUCAGACCCAUGUACCAUGCAGGACAGGAGUCGAUGCUAAGUUCCUUUUAUUCUACCUUCUGCCUGGGCAGAGAGCAUGCUUUCGGCUUUAUGCAUGCUGUAGUUUCUCUCUUUUCAUUCUUUUAUUUUUUUCCACCUCUUGUAAAGACUUUGCUAUGUCAAAAUCUGUCAAACAACUCCUUGUGCCAUGUUUUUACAAGAAUCCUACUUGCUGAAUGGUGCCAAACACCCUUUUAAACAAUACUCAGUGAAGUAUUGCGUUGCCUGUGCUCUGCUCUUGCAUGCCAUAUUUAGACAAAAGCUAGGGAAUUCCCUGGCCUAAAUGAGGGCUUGAAUGAGUCCAUUCUUUUCCCACCUCAACUAAAAAUGCAUGUGUUCACAUAAGGCACAGCUUCUACCCAGCUUUAUUUUUAUUUGAUUCCACACUUUAUCUACCUAGAAAUCGGAAGGAAAAAAAAAAAAAAAAAAAAAAGAACAGGAAACGAAUCAAGUGAAGCUGACCGCAGAGACGUGCUCAGUCCUGCUGGGUGCAUUCCCAACGAGACCAAAACCUAGGCAGCAGUAACACAAACACCCAGCCCCACACUGCCACCAGCUAACAAUAGUCAGCUCACAGCCAAAUAACGCUCCUGUUGCUUUGGCCCAGUGCAAACAAACAACAAGGUUAUGUCCUAACACUGAUAAAGACUGUCAGGGGGGGUUCCUGACAAUGCAUGAGCACCCUGUUAGCCACCUGAGUCAUUGGGGUGUCAGAUGUUUCUGGAGCAAAGGAAAAACCCCAAGCAUGUGGGGCAUGGUGCGUAAUGCCCCUGUGAGCAGACAGAGCAGCGAGCUCUGUGAUCCCUGCACACACUGCCCCACACGUUCAUCCAUUCAGACUGGCAAAAGCCAGCGUGCAAGGGCUCUUUACUGACGCUGCGAAAGUCAAUGGGGCUGCAGAUCUUUCUGGAGCGGCUAUUGAAGCUCCACAUUCCAGAGCGCUAGGCUAAUCGCUUUUAGCCAGCCCUCCAACAGCACUCCAGUUGCUGAUGUUUAAACUCUUUGCCAUACUUUUGUCCACAGUGCGUGGGCCCCCAGAUUUUCUGACAUGUGGCUCUUCCUCUUGCUGCCAAGUCUGCUGGGAGAAGAUGUCAGCCUCACAGGACCAAAACAGAUGCCUUCCACACAUUAACUCUGCUGGAAAAGCUUCAGAUAAAGGCCUAUCUUUCCCUUUCCUCAUCCCCAUAAGCUCUAAAAAAUAUCCAUGAUUUCUGCUCCAAGAAAGGAGGUCUGAAUCCUGAAAUUGAGACACUGAGCAUCGUCAAAUACAGUGUAUAUAUAUAGCCUGAAACACAGGAUGAAAUACUCUGAAAAAGAAGGCAGAAUUUGCAUUAGAGCUCUGUUUUUAUAUAUAUGCAUGCAUAUAUAAAAUCCAUUACAGCCAUUUAAGUUGUAUCUGUACUGCUGAUGGCAGUGAUGGGGAGGGACCCUACUGCAGACAGGAUGCUGGCAGGCACCCGCCUUUUAACUGCUGCCAUUUAAUUCCAUUCGGUGUUGCCUGGGACGACAUAAUAAGUGAGACAUCACUCAAGCCUAGACUAGCCUGGUGCUGCUAGUGUUAUUGCCACUGCUGGGAGCACUCUGGGGACAGCAGUAAAGGAAAGAAAUGAUACGGACAGAGCUGCAGUGUUAUAAAAUGCACCCUUAGGAUCAUAUGCUCAAAAGCACUCAGUUCCCAUUUAGGAACCAAAAUGAAAUUGGCAGGGUUUCAGAAGUGCUCAGCAUCUAUCAGCUCCUACUGAGAACAUGCCGAGCUCUUCUCAAAAUUGUUAGAGAAAAACAAUUUGAAGAUAAGAGCCUGCUUGUGGCUUACAAUUAACAUCAUUGUGUGGGUCUUCACGGCAGUUUGGCAGGAGCAAGAAUAGCUGCUUUCACAGAAGAUGUUCUGUAUGAAUUCACAUCUGAAAGUGUAGGGCCAGGUCUAUAAGCAGCCACCCCCACUGCCUGCCUCCUGUAAGAGCUGCACACCCUAAGGAGAAUUUUCCACUUUGUGUUAGAAUGAUGUAUUUUAUAGCACUUGGUAAGAGGGAGGCAGCACCCGAUCACGCUAGGAGCAACCACAUCAGCCGAGACAAGUCCAGUAUGAGUAGGUAACAGCUCAGAACAUAACCCUCUGAGCUGCAGUCAGUGCAACUGUGAAAACAUGGGGGCAAAUAGACUAAUUUGGUCCCAACCUGUAUUAGUUUCUGACUUAUAAUUAGAAGCAAUAGUAUAUGUCUGUCUGACAUAUAUAUGUUUGUCUCUGAUAACUCUAAGUGCUCUUUGUUCCAUGAAUGAGACCGAUGUCUUCUGGCAGUGGGGACAGAAGCAAUAGUUACAGUCUGGGCUGACACCAAUGUGCACCUUCAAGAGACAAAGUUUUGUCAGAUCUCUCCAGUCAAGCAAUUUCAGAGGCCACAAGCAGGCAAAGACCAUAAAUAUUGCAGCAGUCCCACUCACUGUCCUGUAACCACCAAUCUAUUUAAAAGAAAUGCUGUGAACUGAAAUCGUCCUACUGUUGGCAGCUCCCCAAACCUUGAACCAGCUGAACCUUGGUGCCACACACAGACAAAAAUAAUAAUAAUAAAAUAAAUAAAUAAAUAAACAAACACAAGAGUGGUGUCAAGGCUUCAACUCCCCCAUGGAUGCACAAUGAUUCUUGAAGCAGACUACGAACAAGUUCUUUUCAUCAAAAUCCUCCUUUACACAGUGUCCUUCAUCUCAUCUUGAUCCCUGUUCCAGAAACCAUCUUCCAGGUGCCAGGCUCUCCCUACAGAGCUGCCCCGAGCACCCCACUGAUGUUCCUGUAGCAACCAGAUGCGUAUAGCUGCCUCUGCUACACUGUGUAUGUCCCAGACUGAGCUCAGCUCCAUUUCAGAUUCAGGACAUCUCUGAGAACUGGUUGAAACGAGGACUCACUAAAGCUUCCAUCAGAUGCUGACGGGCCUCUUUGUGCCAGGAAAACGGAUGUGUGCAACAACAGCAAAAGUGCCUGGAAGCAUCCCAAAGCCUGAGUGAAAUGAGGGAAUUUUGAGCGGCACCAAACAAAAGGAGCAGUGAUUUAAUCUCCACAGAUGGGGAGGGGGGAGCAGCGUCAGGAAAAGCAGGAGGAUGAGAUUAGCUAGGCAAUAAAAUGAAAAUGAGCAAGAGGUGGAGAAAACUGUGCUGAGAUAAGAGGAGGUGGAUUACAGAGCUGGCAGAUGGAAGGGGAGCAGGCAGCCAAACAGGGAACAAAAAAAAAACAGGUAAUAAAUCCGUAAAAAUCUCAAUCAACAACUUUAAAUACCAUUUCCAACCCAUUUUCUCCAGGGAGCUAAGUGACUGUGGCAGAUGUACGGCCUCCCCUGCGUGCCCCCCUCAGGGUACCCUGGGCCUGCCCUGUGCUGCUGCAGGGCAGGCGACUGCAAGUGACCAGCAAGGUGUAUGUGCUGGGGCCCAAAACCCUUGCACAGCAGCCAGGAUCCUUCCUGGCACAAGGAUAAAGCAGUCAUUUAACACCAAAAGGUGAAAGAAAUCGCUUCUUUCUUGACUGACCAUUUGACUCAGCCUAAUUCAGCAGCAUGAAAGCGACACAUCGUCUCUUGUGUUGGCAAAAAGGGGCAUUUCCUUGAGCCUCGCUGAAGCACAUUAGGCUGGGUAUCUAAGUUCCGGACGAUAAGGCAGCUUUUAUCAAGAAGCUUUCAUUACUGCAGUUAAACUGGCAAUAGGUGAUUGAUAAUAAGCAGACAUUUGACCUCUGUUCAAAAGUCAUUAAGCCCUUGACCACUGAGUUUUCAGAGGAUAAUCUCUAGAAUAUCUUUGGCUGUGUCAUUUUGGAAAGGCCAUGUUGCAGCUUUCCAGAUCUCUGCAUGCCCCACAUGAAUUUCCCAAUCUUCCAUUGCCUCAGGCAUGUCAGUGCCCAGUGGCACUAUCUCCAUCGCAGUCCUCCCUAUCUCAGGAGGUUAUUUAAAAUCAUUUAUUUGGCAUUACAUUUUGGGAGUCUAGGAGAGAAUGAAAAUUAAGUGGGUACUGCAAAAACAAAAAGGGAAAUUAAUGGCCGAAGAUAAGUAAUUACUUUAUGAGUUUGAAACCUCUUUGUGGUAGGGACAGCUUUUUUCUCUGCGGUGGUGGGAUGCCCAGCACCACUGGGUUUGUGCUGCAGAGAAGCGAUAGUGAUGGCUCAUACUUCGUUGCAGAUAUCUGUAUGAAAUCAUAAAUACAUAUUUUGAGCUGGCAAUUUCCCAUCCAAAAGUAGGGCAUGGGCAGAUUAAUCCCAUUGCUGCUGAGCUGGGUCAAAUGAUCUCCAUUUCCAGAGGUACCCCAACUGGGUACCUUUCCCUCCCUUUGCCCCCUUAGCUUGUUUAAUGUCCUCAAGCCAUGGCCACAAAAAACAAAAUUGUACUAUAAAAGGGCAUAGGUCCAACCUUGUAAACAUUGUUUUCAUUUAUCUCUUAAAGGCUCCCAUUAGCUUUCCCUCAUAGUCUGCUACAGAUACGGCAAAAAGAUGCCUGGGACAAUGAUCCUCAUUUUUGGCCUUUAAAAAUGGUAGACUGGAAACUAAAUUUUGUAACAGGCAGAUACAAAGAGCACCAAUUUGAAUUCUUUGGGGGUGGUGAGGAAUAUACGACCUUUCCCCAGCAGAGGACCAGGAGAGCAGAUGAGCUCUAUGCAGGGUGCAGUGUGGGGAGGGCAACGGGAUGGUGGGGAAGGCAGGGAGAGCCUCGGCUCGGGAGCUCUGUCCGAGAGCUUUCCUGAAAAUCGCUGUGACUCCUAGCUAUUGGCAUGUUUUUAGGAAUAAGAAGCAUUUCUACAAUGUUGAGCUGGCUGAAAAAAAAAGAAAAAAAGAAAAAAAAAGAAAAAAAGAAAAAAAAAAGAGUCUAUUUUCUUUUUUUAAGAACAUUUUUUUCCCUUCGGAAAGCACUGUGGUCAGUCAGGAGAUCUUGGACAAACUGUGGGAGUUAAGUGCGUGAAAUUCAAUACUCCGUGUUAUAUACCAGAGGUCAGACUCAGGGUCCCUUCAGAUCUAAAGCAUACGUGCAAUAAACACUUCCCCAAAAAGCCCCUCCAAAACCCCCUAAGCCUUCCAUUCAGCUUCUGGAAAACGCAGCGCAAAGACAGAACAAGACCUGGCAGCAGAAAGUCAGCAAAGAGGACAAAAACAUUUGGAGUUUACAUUCAACUUCAGUUCCUACAGCAUUCAUGCUCCCUGCCUAGCCAAAGCCCGGCAGGGAGGCUCAGUAAACAGCAUCACCCUGACGAAGCCCAGGACCCGGAGCCGACACGCUGGGGGGCUCGUGGAGCAGCCCGGGGCUCCCUGCCCUGCAGGCACUUGCUCCUCAUCUGACCCCAGAAGCUGCUGUAUUUCACAUGCUGUUCCUCCCUCAUUCGAGCUGUGCUGCGAGAUAGCUCAUCCUGCUGGAAACUAUAACUGAAAACAUUGUCUAAAAACAGCUCCUCUUGCUGCGUGCCCAGAGGGGAGGAGCGGUCCCCAACGAGCACAGACAAACGGAGCUCGAAUAAAUAGCUGGGCUGAAAUGGACCCAGGAGGGCAGCCCAGGGCGGCGGGGCCGGGCAGUGAUUUCACACCAAGGCAGGAUCUCGGCUGGAGAAACUGCCUGGCGAUGACUUGCCCGCUUCCAGACCACGAGGCUGCAUUUUCUCUAAGUGCAGUCAGCUGUGCUCGGGUCAGGCACACGGCUGUGUCUUGGCACCAGGUGUUACGAGGAGCUGAUUUCCACCGCAGGAUUAACAGCAGGAUAUAGAGCACAAACUCAUUGCAAAAUUGUGAUAAAAUCAAAGCUCCAUCUGUAUUCAGGCUGGAACUUGGAGCUAGGAAUGAUUGCUGUGGGAGAGCUGACAGUUUUUUCUUAUUACCAGUGAAAUAAUCUUUUCCUGCACCUUGAAAAUGAAUAAUUCUUUUUUCUUUAAAGGUUAUAUAUACAUAUAUAUCUAAUAUAGACAUAUAGGGAGAGAUGCAGCGAAUUGAAAACAUUUUAAAAAUAUUUAAAGUGUAGUGUUUACUCUUUUCUUUAGAGGAGCUCAACUGUUCUCUGCUUGGAUGCAAAUGAGGCACACACUACUUCCACUCUACGUAUUUUUGGUCAGAAUGAAAAGAUAAAUAGACAGUGUACGUCAAACAUCACACUUUCUGUCAGCUUAAUCUAACUUUGGUCAAAAAUUUAAAACUUUGCAGAGGCUGCUAGCACAUUUCAAGGCUGAACUGUAAUUCUCCUCUGACAAAAAUUUCUUGCUAACCGAGCCUGUCUGUGACAUGGGAACCAACCAGCUAAAGCUUAAACCAAGGCUGUCAAACUCAUUUCACUUAUUAGUUAUGAAAUGGGAAAAAACAGCAAGCUUCGGUGUCACAUGGAAACAUGAGCACGGUGGUGACACAGCCUUUCAUGCACAGUGUCAGCACUAAAAACAGCGUAUGGAUUAUUUGGGAGGUUAUAAACACCGAUCUCAUGAUUCUAUUCUGGGCUGGCCCUAUGACAAAAAAAGGGAAAAAAAAAUAACCAAACCAAAACAAUAACAACCACCAACAGCAGCAAAAAGCCCCAAGCAAUUAGCAGCUGUGCUCUGCAGCCCUUGUGCUGGUGACAAGCGGAGCUGGAAGAAAUGUGGCCCUGCUGAUCCUGCAGAGCUCAGGACCACGGCAGGGCCCCUCCGUCCCUGCUCCCCGCGGCUCGCUGUCGGGACGGGUGUGAGCCACGUGAGCCUGCUGCUUUGGGGACAGGAUGAUUUACACCUGACAACUGCUGGAGUCACCCCCCCAGCCGGCUGCCCUGCGCCUGCUGCACAGAGUGUGCUGCUCGCAGCUCCUGAAACACUGCACUUGGGAGCUGGCUUUUUUCUUCCCUUCUUAUUUUUAUUUUUGUAAGGCAAACGACCAUUGCUGGGUUAUCCGUGCUGGUUUGCCCUCACAGGGCACAGUUCACAGACUGCUUUGCAAAUCGGUGAGCCACCCAUGCAGCCCCUGCCAUCCCAGGAGAGGGCAUCCUGGCCCCGGGACAGUGCAUGUCCCCGUUUAGCCUCUUAGUCUGAGGCCAGGGCAGAUGUUCAGAAUGGCUCUUUCUAAUCUUCAGCUUGUCAAACCUUAUUAGUUGACUUUAUUAAGUCUAUCUCCAAACAUCUCUAAAGUAACGCGCGGUGUUGCUUUAUCCCAAAAUAGCUGCUUGGUAUGAGAUUUUGGCAGCUGGUGCUGAGGCUGGAUGAGACCCUGGAGAGCAGAGUCAAGAAGGCAGCCACAGCCCAACCUGCCCAUGCUUUCAACGUUCACAGCUCCCUCCCAGCCCCACAGGACCCCAAACCCUCCUGUACCCCAGGAACUCUGAGCAUCCCCGCUCCUCCGGCUAACCUGAGUUCAAAACUGGGCCCAGGCCAAAAUUCUGCUUACGAACAACUUCAGGCAUGGGAGAAGAUCUGAAUGUGGACCCAGACUGUACAACUGUGGGUGCUUUCCACCAGGAUACCGCCCUAAUUCCAGUUACAAUGGGCCUUUUCUCUGCUGUCAGAGAGAUGAGAUGUCUGUCAGAAAGAGGUACAGAGGCACUGGUAAUUAUUAAAAGCAUUUAUCAGUAAAUCCAGGACUGAAAGCAUAGUGAAGGGUGGGUGGCAAAUCUUUUGUGAGCCAUAAAAUUUCCAUGAGAGGAGAAUUUUUCAUUGGAAAAAGCUAAAGGAAAUCAUACUGUAUUUUAGGUGUGAUGUAAAUUCUUAUCAGUGCUGUUUUGACAUAGUUUUAACCUCUGUCUAAAGUACAACAAUUUAAAAGACAUCUGGUAACUGAUGAUUUUGCAAAGCUAGAAGUGCAUUGUACACAUUCAAAUGAGCUCAAAAAAA